Molecule: RNA transcript, 3222 nt
Organism: Felis catus (domestic cat)
Lineage: Eukaryota; Metazoa; Chordata; Mammalia; Carnivora; Felidae
Gene: LRRIQ3
Gene name: leucine rich repeats and IQ motif containing 3
Exons: 17
Source: RefSeq, a predicted model, not a curated record
CCAGAGCGGUGGCCUGCCGGGAGAAAAUCCUGGGGGUCAGAGUGCAGAGCCUUGCCGUGUUUCCCUAGCAACGGUCUCUGGAGCAGAUGGCCACCUAGUGAUUUGUCGGACUGUGCCGGGUCUGGGCCUCUUGUUCCCAACUCAUAAGGCUUUGCAGCCCUGUUGACCCGAUGUUUCAUGGAACAAUCACAAAAGAACUAACCAGUCAUGAAGAAUGGAGUCACUAUAAUGACAACAUGAUAGAAGAUCAGAAAGAUUUUGUUUUUGUGAAGUUCAGUGGCCUUCAUUUAAAAUCUAUGGAAAAUUUGCAAUCCUGUAUCUCUCUGAGAGUAUGCAUCUUCUCAAACAAUUUUAUCACAGAUAUUCAUCCACUUCAAAGUUGUAUAAGAUUAGUCAAACUUGAUCUCCAUGGAAAUCAGAUAAAGAGUCUACCAGAUACCAAAUUUUGGAGUGGACUGAAGAAACUAAAACUCCUCUAUCUUCAUGACAAUGGGUUUGCAAAGUUAAAGAAUAUAUGUAUGUUAUCUGCCUGUCCAAGUCUAAUUGCCCUCACUAUGUUUGAUUGUCCAGUGAGCCUUAAAAAAGGAUAUAGACAUGUUCUUGUCAACAGUAUAUGGCCUCUCAAAGCACUGGAUCAUCAUGUGAUUUCUGAUGAAGAAAUAAUUCAGAACUGGCAUCUUCCUGAAAGAUUUAGAGCAUAUAACCACCGACUUUUCUUUAAUUUCUGCCCUGCUUUGAAAAAGGGAUCAACCUAUGGUGAUGAAAUUAAUAAUAUCAAAUAUAUUGUUUCAAAAAUUAAUGAAAUUCUGGCUCAUAAUUCACCAGUUUUGAUUGUUCAAAGAUGGAUACGUGGUUUCUUGGUUAGAAAAAAAAUGAGCCCCUUGUUGCAUAAAAAGGAUCAGGAGAAAUUUAUUGGUGAAUGUGAAACAAAGUGGACUUUUAUACCUAAAGGAUACGAAGACAGUCUCUUUAAGCAUCUCUUUCUUCAGCCUGAAACCAAUAGAACAGGAAAACUUGCACAUUGGAAACAUAAUAUACUUUCUCAUGUUGAUUUAAAAAGUUCUAGAGAACAGAGAAAACAUGUUUCCUCUAUAUUAUAUGAAUUAAAAACAAAAGAAAUUGGUAAAAAAUCAAAAACAUCAAGACAUCUCAUUCAAAAAGGUCAGAAGGAAUCUGAAGAUGAAACUGAAGGUGAAGAAUUGGAUGCCAGCUUUAGGAUAUCAGUGUUCAAACUACCCAUACAUACUUCAGGUUCACUCAAGUAUGCUGCAUUAUUGAAAGAAAAGGAGCAAGAUUAUUUUCCUACAUAUGUCCAGCCAUUUUCUACCACUCAUCAAAAACCAGAAAUUACAAAAAAAGACAUGCUGUUGAAGGGUAAUGUAAGAAAAGAGUUUUUUACAACACACAGAACUGGUAUAAAACUCCGAACACUUUGUGAUAUUGAUAAAUGUUAUUCCGAACAAAAGAAGCAGGAAAGCCAUAAAAAAAAAAUAACAGCUGUAACUCUGGCACAAGUUGCCCAGGAAAGAGUUAGCUUAGCUGUUCAAGAAAACUUAAAUAAGAAAAAAAAUGCUGCACAAAAACUAACUGCAAAAGAUAAUGAGACAAUUCGGAAUGGUUUACAACAACUUUGGCAGGACAGAUUCAAUUACCUUGAAAAAGUUAAAGAGAGGAGAGCUCGGUUUCUGAAAGAAAAAAAACAAAAGGCUGAAGACCGUUUAUUAAUUCAAAACAUAAGUAAUGAGCGCACUCUUUUAUGCAAAGGAAUGAUUAAAAUGGACAGAUUGAGGAAGAAUCAGGCUGUCUUACAAGAGAAAAGUCUGAUUGUUCAGCAAAGACUAGAAAUGGAAAAAUAUCAAAAGAAUUUACUUAAACAAAUGAAGGAAAUUAGGACACAGUCUAUAUUUCCCAGCCUCCCUUGCACAGUUAAUUGGAGCACAGGACUGAAUUUUGACCAAUGAAAUCUGAGUAAAAGUGACUGCCAACUCUUCAGAUUUUUCUGCAGCCUGGAAAACUAGAAAUCUCUUGAAGAGAAUGGAAAGAAUUCAUGAGAAAAUGUCACUAUUGGAGCUAAAGAACCUUCAUUUAUCUUCUCAUGAAUAGAGGUGGUCACCAACCAGGUUUCCAGGGUACCUAAUGCAAUCUGAUACUGUGCACACAGUUGACAAUUGACCGAUGUUGUUAACAGCAGCACUGUAUCAACUUGUGUCUCAUACCAUCUAUAAGUUUCCCAGACUGUAAAUGAGCAGAGAGAGAAAAGCACUUUCUGUGUUUGAAAUGAAUUGAUCAACUAUGAUAAAUAGCUAAAACAGAGUUGGAAAAUGUGCCAGUAUAAAAUAUAUUUUGAAUGAUAAUAAGUGAACUAACAUCCUCAUCCUCAUCGGCUCAUUUUCCUUCCACCAAAUGCCUUGUAUUCUUCUGUCCAUGAAUUUAAAUCAUCUUCUGUCCAUGAAUUUAAAACAGAUUGAAGCAGAAACCUCUGAGGCCCCAGUGGAUGAUGAAGACACUAGAUGGAAGGAACAUACAUCCCUGAAUCACAGUGUGGAAAAAAGGUCUCUGCCAAUAAGAAUAUUGUUAUGCAGGGGCAUACAGUGGUACUUCUGGUGUUUGUCAAGGUAUCAUUAUGGUUCACUUCUUAAAAAUCCAAGAAUCCUUUGGGCAUUAUCUGGGACUUACAAAAAGAAGGUAAAAAGAAGGUCUGGAUCACAGCCCCAGUCUUGCUGAAACAAAGGUGUUCAAGUUCCAGAGCAUCUCAGGGUUUGUGAGCUGAACUGCCAAGGGAAAUCUUGAUUGCACACCUAAUUGUGGAGCAGAAAUCAAAUGGACCCAUGCGAGAUUCUCUUGUUGCUGCAGAUCUCCAAGUAAUUAUGAAAGAAAUUAGAGUACCCGACGUUAAAUCAUGGUUCUGCUGUGGGAUCUUCAGAAAGACAUUCUGUCCGUUGAUUUUCUCAAGUGUAAAAUACAGGUAAUAAACAUAGUGUGAGUACAGGAAGAUUAAGAGUGUGUGUCUGUGUGUGUGUGUAUCAGGGAAUGUUAAGUGCCAUGUCCUUGUUGGCCUCAAGAUAGUGGCAGCAGAACCUAUAUCUUUACAAUGCUUGUUUUAGGUUACCUGAUUUACCAGUUUGUUUAUAAGCAUCAUAUGAUAACUUCACUUGUGAGUCAGUCCCUGUCUUCUUUCAGCUACUCUCUUCUGGUGUUACUAAUGCCCUCCACAUGUACAUU